GAACGCUAGCGGCAGGCUUAACACAUGCAAGUCGAGGGGCAGCAUGAGGGUUAGCAAUAACCCUUGAUGGCGACCGGCGCACGGGUGAGUAACACGUAUGCAACCUGCCCGUCACAGGGGGAUAACCGGGGGAAACCCCGCCUAAUACCCCAUAUUAUAUAGUUAUUGCAUGAUGAUUAUAUGAAAACCUUGGUGGUGACGGAUGGGCAUGCGGUGCAUUAGCUAGUUGGUGAGGUAACGGCUCACCAAGGCGACGAUGCAUAGGGGUUCUGAGAGGAAGGUCCCCCACACUGGAACUGAGACACGGUCCAGACUCCUACGGGAGGCAGCAGUGAGGAAUAUUGGUCAAUGGUCGGAAGACUGAACCAGCCAAGUAGCGUGAAGGAUGAAGGUUCUAUGGAUUGUAAACUUCUUUUAUACGGGAAUAAAACACCUUACGUGUAGGGUCUUGUAUGUACCGUAUGAAUAAGCAUCGGCUAACUCCGUG
This 487-nucleotide ribosomal RNA is filed under the name uncultured bacterium. RNAcentral describes it as "bacterial SSU rRNA". It matches the Rfam family "Bacterial small subunit ribosomal RNA", at positions 31 to 507 of the family's 1533-position model. The record is from RNAcentral.